CUCAGUACGUGUAUCUGCAGUGAACACACACAGCAGCGGAGUUAGGAACGUGCUGCUAACACUUCUACCACAGAGUUAUACUUCAAAAAAUUUACUGUUUACAUUAUUAGCUGGUAUCAGCGCAAGUGAAAUGUUUUGCCCCAAAAUAAUCAUCACUAAGCUUUUUCACAUAGGAAGAUGAUCAUAUUUUAAACUUAAAACUCAACAUCCAGGACUCUUCCCGUCUGAAUGCACGGCCCCAGCUUUCGUUGACAUCUACAUGGUCUCUAGACAGAACACUGAAAUGUUGAAGUUUUCUAACAGUACCUGUGGAACAAGCCAGGUUCGUAUUCCAAGUACCAGCCAACUUCACACACUCAGGCUACCAUGUUGUGUAGUUACCUUGGAGUGCCUCCUGUGUCCCAGUCAAGUGGUUCGGGCUGGUUUGCAUCUAUUCCGUUGAAGACUUGGGGCUUUUCAAGAUGAACAGGUCCACCCAUCACAGCCACCACACAAACCACACAGACCAACAAACCCUGGUGGGUGGGAACGUAUCCCUUUCUGUAACCAGGACAGCCAGCACCGUGUACAGAACCGCCAGACAAUCCUGAUCACGAGCCUGUGUGAACAGAUGGGAUUCAUCCUGUAAUACCAGCACCAUCAGAAGGUGGCAGUCUGCAGGGGCAAUGACCAUUACAGCCCUGCAGAGUUUAGCCUUUCCUGAUUACUGACCGCUGGGCAAUCUCUUCAGUUUGUCCAAGUCCACCAUCAGCUUAAUGAUAAGCAAGAAAUAGAAUAACAUCAUACGGCGGGUCCUUUCAUUAUGUGUAGCAUCCAUGAGGUCAUGGGAAGGGCCAUCCUAUACAGAUUCCUAAACUAUGAAGAGGCAGAAGUGGGAUUUAAGGGAAGAUAUAGAUGUGAUACCAACUCCAGAUAAGGUCUGAUGCAAUGAAUCAUGCACUGGUGUGCUUUGGUCAAUUUUGAAUUUCUACUUGGGAAAAGAUGGAAACUGGGAAGAUUUUAAAGGGGAAGAGAAAGAAUGGCAAGGGGGUUUUGUUCGAUUAUUUGCUUGUUUCUUUCAUCAGAGAAAGAAAAAAGACUGAACAAACUGAGUUUCUUAAAGAAGUCUCAAGAAGAUAUGUUAUCAGUCUUCAAAUAUGUAAAAGACUGCUAUGAAGUGAAAGGGACUGGUCAAUCUGUCCAUCAGGUCUCUGCUAUGUUGGUGAGAAGCAGUGAGCUCAAACUGCCUGAUACUACUUUAGUAUUUGUAUGUAUUAGACUACUUUCCAAUAGCAGUGAAAAUGAAAAACUGUUGUAGCCUGCCUAAGAACAGAACGAAGUCACCUCCAUUCGCUUUAAGAACAACAACACACCAUCUACCAGAGGUGGUACCAGUAGAAGCAGAUCCGCUCAGGGCAAGGCAGUGGGCCAGCGACCUACUCAGAUAAAUUCCAACUCCUUGAACUGAAAUGUCUUACACAGUUGAGGCCUACUUUGUUAUCACACACAACCUACUUUCAUGAUUAGCUUUUGCAGUUUGAUGGCACCAGUCAGCUUUAUGGAAAUCUUGAAGUGGAACGCUAGUAUCUGUGUGAUUAUUAAUACUUUCAUAAUGAUAUUUUGCCUAUCACUGCUGGUUGAUUUGUUCAUUCCUUCCUCGUGCACCCCUGUGCUUGUUCUGCCAUGUAUAUGAAAUAAAAUCACAUGAAAAUUUGUAAAA
Long non-coding RNA from Oxyura jamaicensis (ruddy duck), 1699 nucleotides. RefSeq lists it as uncharacterized. The record is from RefSeq and is a predicted model, not a curated record. NCBI's taxonomy places the organism in Eukaryota, Metazoa, Chordata, Aves, Anseriformes, Anatidae. The transcript has 2 exons.